AUAAUUUUGAGUUUGAUCCUGGCUCAGAGUGAAUGCUCUUAACAUGCUUUACACAUGCGAGUUAAACGAAUGUUGUGUUCGCACAGCUUUAGUAACGAACGGGUGCGUAAUAAUGGAAUAUUUGAUGUGUUUGCUGGGGAUAGCUGAUAAGGGUUAUUAAUAACCCUGCUUCAUAACCCCCAAUAGUAUUUUUAUUAAUUAAAAAAAAUCAAGUUUUUAAGAGAUAUAAAAUAAAAAAUUUAUUGUGAACGCGUUUUUUCUAUCAAGAUCAGGUAGUUGGUGGGGUCAGCCCACCAAGCCUAAGACCUUUAGCUAGUUUGAAAAAAUGUAUAGCCACAUCGGGACUGUAACAAGGCCCGAAUUCCCUAGGGAGGCAGCAGUGGGGAAUACUGGACAAUGAGUUAACGCUUGAUCCGGCAAUGUUAAACGAACGAAGCGAAAGUAAUGAGCUGUAAAAUUCAAAAAAUUAUUUCAAAUAUAGUGAAUGAUUUAAUAAAGCCCCGACUAACUUCGUGCCAGCAGUCGCGGUAAUACGGGGGGGGCGAGUGUUACUCAUCAUGACUAGGCGUAAAGGGUGCUAAGACCGCUAAUGGUUGUCCUAAUUGAAAAUUUAAUUGAAAGAUUGAACUGUAUUAGUUAAACAAUUUAGCUCGGGUAGAUUGGAGAAUAGAAUUACUAGUUUUUGAGGGGUAGAAUCCAACGAGAAGAUUAGGAGGUACAAAGGCGAAAGCAACUAUUUAUGGUCAACCAACGUUAAUACACUAAAGCGUGGGGAGCAAACAGGAUUAGAUACCCUGGUAGUCCACGCCCUGACCUAUGAGUGUAAAAAUAUUUUUUCGCUUUAAAGCUCUGCUUUAAGCAUUUAAACACCUCUGUUGUUUGUUUUAUAAAAUUUAUUUUAGCUAACGCGAAAGCACUCCGCCUGGGGACUACGGCCGCAAGGUUGAAACUCAAAGGAAUUGACGGAGGAUCACACAAGCGGUGGAGCAUGUGGCUUAAUGCGUAAUAACGCGCAAAACCUUACCAGUUUUUGAAUGCUAAAUGAUUUACUAUAAAGUAGUAUAAAAGUUAUUUCUAUUAUUCUUUGAGUUAAAAAAAUAAUUUUUAGCACAGGAGCUGCAUGGCUGUCGUCAGUUCGUGCCGUGAGGUGUUAGGUUCAGUCCAUUAACGAACGCAACCCCAAUUUCUAGUUGUCUGGUCCUUAGCUUACUAGUUUAAGUGACUUACUAGGAAGACCGUCAUUGAAAAAUGAAGGAAGUAGGGAAGAUGUCAAGUCAGUAUGGCCUCAAUAAAUUGGGCUGCCGCACAUGCUACAAUGCUUAUUACAGCACGUUGCAAAAAUGUAAGUUCUAGCAAAUCGUUAAAAAUAAGCUUAGUUCAGAUUAUUCUCUGCAACUCGGGAAUAUGAAGGCGGAAUCGCUAGUAAUCGCGGAUCAGCACGCCGCGGUGAAUUGGAGUCUGAUCCUAGUACAUACCGCCCGUCACGCCACGAAAAUUUGUUUUGUUGGAAGUUUUUAGAAACUUAUCCUAUGAUAGAAAAAAUUUACUAAAUUUUUUUUUUGUUAUAGGGUGGGGAGUAUCUAGACAAUAACAAGGUAAGUAAUUAGGGUGAAGUCGUAACAGGGUAGUCGUAGGGGAACCUGUGGCUGGGUUAUUUAACCU
Molecule: ribosomal RNA, 1662 nt
Filed under: Patescibacteria group bacterium
Lineage: Bacteria
Description: 16S ribosomal RNA
Rfam family: Bacterial small subunit ribosomal RNA
Source: RNAcentral